GGCGGCAUGCCUUACACAUGCAAGUCGAACGGCAGCACGGGAGCAAUCCUGGUGGCGAGUGGCGAACGGGUGAGUAAUAUAUCGGAACGUGCCCGGUCGUGGGGGAUAACGUAGCGAAAGCUACGCUAAUACCGCAUACGAUCUACGGAUGAAAGCGGGGGAUCGCAAGACCUCGCGCGAUUGGAGCGGCCGAUAUCAGAUUAGGUAGUUGGUGAGGUAAAGGCUCACCAAGCCGACGAUCUGUAGCUGGUCUGAGAGGACGACCAGCCACACUGGGACUGAGACACGGCCCAGACUCCUACGGGAGGCAGCAGUGGGGAAUUUUGGACAAUGGGCGCAAGCCUGAUCCAGCAAUGCCGCGUGCAGGAUGAAGGCCUUCGGGUCGUAAACUGCUUUUGUACGGAACGAAACGGUGAGCUCUAAUACAGUUUGCUAAUGACGGUACCAUAAGAAUAAGCACCGGCUAACUACGUG
This 474-nucleotide ribosomal RNA is filed under the name uncultured bacterium. Its description in RNAcentral is "bacterial SSU rRNA". It matches the Rfam family "Bacterial small subunit ribosomal RNA", at positions 38 to 507 of the family's 1533-position model. The record is from RNAcentral.